This 389-nucleotide RNase P RNA is filed under the name Tritonibacter litoralis. RNAcentral describes it as "Bacterial RNase P class A". It matches the Rfam family "Bacterial RNase P class A". From Rfam's summary of the family: Ribonuclease P (RNase P) is a ubiquitous endoribonuclease, found in archaea, bacteria and eukarya as well as chloroplasts and mitochondria. Its best characterised activity is the generation of mature 5'-ends of tRNAs by cleaving the 5'-leader elements of precursor-tRNAs. The record is from Rfam by way of RNAcentral. Lineage: Bacteria; Pseudomonadati; Pseudomonadota; Alphaproteobacteria; Rhodobacterales; Paracoccaceae.
ACAGAAGGCCGGACGGUCGCGUGGCCCAUGGGCCGCGAGGAAAGUCCGGGCUCCACAAGGCAACGGUGCCGGGUAACGCCCGGGCGGGGUGACCCGACGGAAAGCGCCACAGAAAUGAAACCGCCUCGCAGGUCGGGGUAAGGAUGAAACGGUGGGGUAAGAGCCCACCGCGCCCCUGGCAACAGGGGCGGCACGGCAAGCCCCACCUGGAGCAAUGCCAAAUAGGGUCCCCGCGCGGGCAGGUCAGGCAACUGAUACCGCCGCUAGGUACGCUUUGACCGAGAGGGACCGGGUUGGCAGCUAGAAGCGUCUGGCAACAGGCGCUGCAGAUGAAUGACCGUCCAGGGGGCAACCCCGGACAGAACCCGGCUUACAGGCCUUCUGUGCAA